RNAcentral lists this ribosomal RNA (866 nucleotides) under Arthrobacter globiformis. RNAcentral describes it as "bacterial SSU rRNA". It matches the Rfam family "Bacterial small subunit ribosomal RNA", at positions 334 to 1207 of the family's 1533-position model. The record is from RNAcentral. Lineage: Bacteria; Bacillati; Actinomycetota; Actinomycetes; Micrococcales; Micrococcaceae.
GACUCCUACGGGAGGCAGCAGUGGGGAAUAUUGCACAAUGGGCGCAAGCCUGAUGCAGCGACGCCGCGUGAGGGAUGACGGCCUUCGGGUUGUAAACCUCUUUCAGUAGGGAAGAAGCGAAAGUGACGGUACCUGCAGAAGAAGCGCCGGGCUAACUACGUGCCAGCAGCCGCGGUAAUACGUAGGGCGCAAGCGUUAUCCGGAAUUAUUGGGCGUAAAGAGCUCGUAGGCGGUUUGUCGCGUCUGCCGUGAAAGUCCGGGGCUCAACUCCGGAUCUGCGGUGGGUACGGGCAGACUAGAGUGAUGUAGGGGAGACUGGAAUUCCUGGUGUAGCGGUGAAAUGCGCAGAUAUCAGGAGGAACACCGAUGGCGAAGGCAGGUCUCUGGGCAUUAACUGACGCUGAGGAGCGAAAGCAUGGGGAGCGAACAGGAUUAGAUACCCUGGUAGUCCAUGCCGUAAACGUUGGGCACUAGGUGUGGGGGACAUUCCACGUUUUCCGCGCCGUAGCUAACGCAUUAAGUGCCCCGCCUGGGGAGUACGGCCGCAAGGCUAAAACUCAAAGGAAUUGACGGGGGCCCGCACAAGCGGCGGAGCAUGCGGAUUAAUUCGAUGCAACGCGAAGAACCUUACCAAGGCUUGACAUGGACCGGACCGCCGCAGAAAUGUGGUUUCCCCUUUUGGGGCUGGUUUACAGGUGGUGCAUGGUUGUCGUCAGCUCGUGUCGUGAGAUGUUGGGUUAAGUCCCGCAACGAGCGCAACCCUCGUUCUAUGUUGCCAGCACGUGAUGGUGGGGACUCAUAGGAGACUGCCGGGGUCAACUCGGAGGAAGGUGGGGAUGACGUCAAAUCAUCAUGCCCAAAAAUGU